AAUAAAUAAUUAAAUACACACACGCAUACAUACAUAUAUGUAUGAUAUAUAUACACAGCAUUCAAUUCAAAUCUUUCAAACACAAUAUCCCUAUCUCUCUCACACACUGUCGGCAAAGUAGAACGAUAAAGAAAUGGCGAUGGUUAAUUAAUGGAUCGGCACGCGAGAAGGACUCAAAGUAUCUCUCUAUCUCUCUCUCAAUAAAGCGUAACGUGGACUAAAUCUAUCCUUUACUCUCUCUUGACAUUAGCCUUCCAAUCCACCCUCUCUGUCAUUCGUUCUACGAGUUUCUCUCUCUCUCUCUCUCUCCCUCUCUCUCUUCCUCUCUCAUCCCUCCUAUUGUCGAUGGGCCUGAGUUGUUUUGUCCCGUCAGUCCCUGCCGUGCAAUGCGAUAUCUAUGGCUUUCUUUUGGGGGUCCUUGUGCCGAAGCCGCCAUUAUACCCAAAAGUCCACCCCUCUGUUCCCUCCCAUCCCACCCCUUAUACAUACUCUCCUUCUCUCUCUCUCUCUCUCUCUCUCUCUUUCUCUAUCUUUUAUUCUCAACUUAUACACACACUAAUAUAAAGUGCAGUUCACAGGAACGUCACAAGAUUCUUUCUACGUAUAUAUGUGUGAUGGCAGAGAUCGUUUCUCUUCCUCCUCCUUUUUCUCUUCUUCUUCUUCUUCUUCUUCUUCUUCUUCUUCUUCCUCCUCCUUUUCCUUCUCUUCAUCUUUAGAUAUACGUGUCUGUGUGGGUGCGUGCGAAUCUGUGUGGCAAACCGCGAAGGAACCAGCCUUCACUCGGGUAGCUCUAGUUUAGCUAUUCAAGGCGGUGCGUACGUCGAAAAGGGAUAAAAGGGUGUACCAAUGGAGACCAAUACGCGCUCGAGUAUUGGCUGACUCCGGCAUGGUGGUCCAGGUCAACAAAUCAUAAUCGUGCCUACGACCGAGUAACGAGGAAAGCCUGAAGAUGUUUGCUGGACGUUGCUUUGGCGCUCUUUCGAACACGCCAGCAAGUAAGAGAGAAAGAGAGAGAGAGAGAGAGAGAGAGAGAAGAAGAAGUAAAAGGAAGAAAAAGAGAUAGAGAAGUCUUGGUUAAGGUCUAAAGAAAUGGAAGGAGGGGUAGAAGAGAAGAAAGGAAAGAACGAUGCUCAUGAGCGAGAACAAGAGCAAGAACAAGAGAAGCAGUCGUCCUUAUCGUACACGGCAAGUUCAGCAAACAAGAUGAAGAAGAAGGAGAAGGAGAAGAAGAAGAAGGAGAAGAAGAAGAAGAAGAAGAAGAAGAAGAAGAAGAAGAAGAAGGAAAGGAUGCUGAAGAUCCUUUCGUUUGAGCUAUCACCUCGAGAUCGUUCGUGGUAUGCGCUACCUAAAAGCACGUUCUUAAUUCAUGGCGAUCGCUCAACGUUGCAACGCGCCGUCGAAAUAAUAAAUAUUAC
Vespula vulgaris is the source of this 1415-nucleotide long non-coding RNA. RefSeq lists it as uncharacterized. Lineage: Eukaryota; Metazoa; Arthropoda; Insecta; Hymenoptera; Vespidae. The record is from RefSeq and is a predicted model, not a curated record. The transcript is spliced from 3 exons.